This 492-nucleotide ribosomal RNA is filed under the name uncultured bacterium. RNAcentral's name for it is "partial 16S ribosomal RNA". It matches the Rfam family "Bacterial small subunit ribosomal RNA", at positions 29 to 507 of the family's 1533-position model. The record is from RNAcentral.
AGUGAACGCUGGCGCUAGGCCUAACACAUGCAAGUCGAACGGCAGCACAGUAAGAGCUUGCUCUUACGGGUGGCGAGUGGCGGACGGGUGAGGAAUACAUCGGAAUCUACUUUUUCGUGGGGGAUAACGUAGGGAAACUUACGCUAAUACCGCAUACGACCUACGGGUGAAAGCAGGGGAUCUUCGGACCUUGCGCGAUUGAAUGAGCCGAUGUCGGAUUAGCUAGUUGGCGGGGUAAAGGCCCACCAAGGCGAUGAUCCGUAGCUGGUCUGAGAGGAUGAUCAGCCACACUGGAACUGAGACACGGUCCAGACUCCUACGGGAGGCAGCAGUGGGGAAUAUUGGACAAUGGGCGCAAGCCUGAUCCAGCCAUACCGCGUGGGUGAAGAAGGCCUUCGGGUUGUAAAGCCCUUUUGUUGGGAAAGAAAAGCAGCAGGUUAAUACCCCGCUGUUCUGACGGUACCCAAAGAAUAAGCACCGGCUAACUUCGUG